RNAcentral lists this long non-coding RNA (503 nucleotides) under Ursus maritimus (polar bear). RNAcentral describes it as "lncRNA (ENSUMAG00000023161.1)". Lineage: Eukaryota; Metazoa; Chordata; Mammalia; Carnivora; Ursidae. The record is from RNAcentral.
UAAGAUUUUAUUUAUUUAUUUGACAGAGAUAGAGACAGCCAGCGAGAGAGGGAACACAAGCAGGGGGAGUGGGAGAGGAAGAAGCAGGCUCAUAGCAGAGAAGCCUGAUGUGGGGCUCGAUCCCAUGACACCGGGAUCACGCCCUGAGCCGAAGGCAGACGCUUAACCGCUGUGCCACCCAGGCGCCCCACUACAGGCUCUUUCUGACCACAACCUGAACCCGGUGACUGAAAGCAAACAAAUUUCACCUACUCCUCAGCGCGCGCGAGACCCUGGAGAGAGCGUGUAUAAACCAGCAAGGGUCGACAACGCAGCUUCGACAACGUGUAACUGAUUUUCCGUCUCUCUCAGCUCAGAAGGCGGAGUCACAAAACGCUGUGCACACUCCCUUAUGUAACGUGACUUUGAGCUAACAAAAGAUCCAGAAGGACCUUCUGACAUAUUUGUCACCCAAGAAUCAACAAACAGCUGGCCUCUAUUCAACCUGGGUCAUCGGUCUCAAU